GUCCACGCGGUAAACGAUGUCAACUAGCCGUUGGAAUGGUAAUCCUUUUAGUGGCGCAGCUAACGCACUAAGUUGACCGCCUGGGGAGUACGGUCGCAAGAUUAAAACUCAAAUGAAUUGACGGGGGCCCCGCACAAGCGGUGGAGCAUGUGGUUUAAUUCGACGCAACGCGAAGAACCUUACCUACUCUUGACAUCCAGAGAACUUGGCAGAGAUGCCUUGGUGCCUUCGGGAGCUCUGAGACAGGUGCUGCAUGGCUGUCGU
RNAcentral lists this ribosomal RNA (264 nucleotides) under uncultured bacterium. RNAcentral's name for it is "partial 16S ribosomal RNA". It matches the Rfam family "Bacterial small subunit ribosomal RNA", at positions 793 to 1055 of the family's 1533-position model. The record is from RNAcentral.